This 100-nucleotide ribosomal RNA is filed under the name Trechispora farinacea. RNAcentral's name for it is "partial 5.8S ribosomal RNA". It matches the Rfam family "5.8S ribosomal RNA", at positions 58 to 154 of the family's 154-position model. From Rfam's summary of the family: 5.8S ribosomal RNA (5.8S rRNA) is a component of the large subunit of the eukaryotic ribosome. It is transcribed by RNA polymerase I as part of the 45S precursor that also contains 18S and 28S rRNA. The record is from RNAcentral. Lineage: Eukaryota; Fungi; Basidiomycota; Agaricomycetes; Trechisporales; Hydnodontaceae.
AUAAGUAAUGUGAAUUGCAGAAUUCAGUGAAUCAUCGAAUCUUUGAACGCACCUUGCGCUCCUUGGUAUUCCGAGGAGCAUGCCUGUUUGAGUGUCUUGA